GAAUGUUAGCUCAGGGUCAAUCUUCUUCACACACACGCAUACAAAUUAUUUAUAUUCUUUAACCUUUUUUUUUUUUUAAGAUUUCAUUUUUUUCCUUUUUCUCCCCAAAACCCCCCCGGUACAUAGUUGAAUAUUCUUCGUUGUGGGUCCUUCUAGUUGUGGCAUGUGGGAUGCUGCCUCAGUGUGGUUUGAUGAGCAGUGCCAUGUCCGCGCCCAGGAUUCGAACCAACGAAACACUGGGCCACCUGCAGUGGAGCACGCGAACUUAACCACUCGGCCACAGGGCCAGCCCCAAUAUUCUUUAAAAUUCAAAGUACAAUAUACAUGUAGAAAAGUGCAGAAACCACAAAUGUACGGCUGAAUGAACUAUCAUGAAAUGAAGAUAUCCAGGUAAAGAAAUAGAACAUAACCAGUGCCCAACAGCCCCUCAUGUAUCCACACCAAAUUACUAACCUCACCUUCCCAAAUGUAAGUACUACCUUGACUUCUAAAACCAUUGAUUAAUUCUGCUUGUUUUUGAAUUUAUAAAAAUGCAGCCACAUGAUAUAUAUUCUUUUGUGUCUAGCUUAUUUCAGUCAAUGUUAUUAUGAUAGCUUGUUCAUUUUCCGGGCUGUAUAGUAUUCCAUUUUAUGAAUCUACCAAAGUUUAUUUAUUUCUUCCACUGUUGCUAGGUAUGUGGGUUACUUCCACUUUUUUUUGGCUAUUAUGGGUGAUGCAUUUGUGUGGGGGUCUUAAUGAGGACAGAAACACAUUAGGAAAGUCAAAAAAGGCCUCCAAUCUAAGUGUGGUGGGAUCACUCUAAACUAAUGGCAAAAUCCAGGAAUUGACAGGGCCCGAGGUUGGCAUCCUUGUGUGUUAAAUUAAGGAAAGAUUGUUUUUCAAUGUAACCCAAGAUAGGAAGGAAUUCAAUGUUUUCAAUUACCCUGCAGGAAAGGGUGAGACCGUGAUACGUCUGACUAUUGCAUGGCGGUCAACCUAAGAUUUGGAGUGAGGGCCACGCUUGAAGAGCUGAUUUCACACGAAAUGAAAUACCUGUUCUUUGUACUGAGUAGGUGCUGUGACCCAUUCUUUGCACUUUGUUUGUGCUGUGACUGUGUAAGGAAAUUGCCACCACUAAACCACAUGUGCUUAUUCCAUGGAAGCUACAAGAUGAAAUGGAAUUCCAUGGAAGCUACAAGCUGCAACACGUCCUUGGUCCUCUUUGCUUCCAGAAGCCACCUGUGAAAACUGACCUCAUUGUACUUCACCCACACCUCACGGCUCAUGAAAGCAUUAAACAUGGAAACAAUGCCAGCGGGACAGGACAGCUACCAUGGGACUCUUGUUUCCCAUGAGAAAGGGAGAAAUGACUAGGAGACAAAACCAAAGUCUGCUACAAAAGGGAAGUUAAAGGGAUCUCUGGGUAUGACAAUAACUCAUUGAUGGCAAGAAUGUUAUUUGCCUUUUAUAGCAAUUCCACAACAGUUGGCUUGCAGAAGAGUAAUGAUAUUAAAAUUCUCAAGGUACUAAAAGAAAACCCUAUUCUUCAUGCUGGAAUGUUAUCAGCACUGCCUCAGUGCCUUACUGGAAUUUCUAUUAUCUGAUAAAUGGUAGUGGUAAAAGAAUUUUAGGUGGUAAUCAAGAAAUAUAGGUCUUCUCCAAAGGCUGUGGUCUUGGGGAAGUCUUCGUUUUUGGGGCCUCAUUUUUCCCAUCUGUAUAAUUAAGGGCUUGGAAUAGAUGUUUUCUCACAUCUCCUCCAAUUCUGCAUUCAGUGAGACUACAGGGAAAGCAGGGUGAAGUAGUAAAUAGAUGGGAGAUUGGAUUCAGCAGAGCUCGAGAUGAGUUUUGGCUUCAUCACUUAAUAGCUGUUUGACUUUGAGAAAAAUUCUUAACCUUUCUGACCUCAGUUUCCUCAUCUUUAAAACAAAAACAUAAAAAUAAUACAAGACAAUUAUAUUGGUUAAAGUCAAAUGAAACAACAGAUGUGAAAAACUUCGCAAACUCUAAACCUCAGCAUAAAGGUGAGUUUUAUUACUAUAAUUAUGAUGAUGAGUAAAAAUGAACAGUACCAACCAACACUUACUUACUAUUAUUAUUGUUAUUAUUUUUUCUGGGAAAGAUUUGCUCUGAGCUAACAUCCAUUACCAAUCUUCCUCUUUUUUUUUUUUCUCUCCAAACUCCCAUUACAUAGUUGUACAUUCUAGUCAUAAGUCCUUCUGGUUCUUCUGUGAGAGCUGCCGCCACAGCAUGGCUACUGACAGAUGGGUG
Molecule: long non-coding RNA, 2247 nt
Filed under: Equus caballus (horse)
Lineage: Eukaryota; Metazoa; Chordata; Mammalia; Perissodactyla; Equidae
Description: lncRNA (ENSECAG00000051227.1)
Source: RNAcentral